UUGCAGAACAUAUUGAUGCUCUGAAAGAUAACCCCAGAAGAGUAUGAGGAGACAUACACAGUCUACACAGAUUGCCUGUUUUACUUCUCACCAUUGAUUUAUGUUGCCAAAACAAAGAGAAUGCUGAAAGUCACCUGUUCUCCAAAGGUAUGUGCCACCAAAUCAAGGAAAAGCAAUAGAAAGCAGCCCCAAAAUGAAGAACCAGGUAUCCUUACAGGAAUAUAGUGAACCACAAAGGGCUAUGUGAAAAUGCAUUUGCUGCAAGCGGGAACAUCAGGGGAAUUUGGUGCCUCCAACCAAGUUAACAUAUCUUUCAAUCACUUGUGAUAUUGCAGAAUAAUGGCAACUACCAUGGAAAGAUGAAAUACAUAUGGUGCUGUAAAAACCAGGAGAGCCCAAGGGCAUUUUGCUCUUGCCAUUCCUGAGGAGUUUAUUGCCUACAGAUAAGCCCUCUCUUUGCCUGCUGCCAUCCACGUAAGAUGUGACUUGCUCCUCUUUGCCUUCUGCCAUGAUUGUGAGGCCUCACCAGCCAUGUGGAAC
This 540-nucleotide long non-coding RNA is filed under the name Homo sapiens (human). RNAcentral's name for it is "non-protein coding lnc-MSR1-2:4". The record is from RNAcentral. Lineage: Eukaryota; Metazoa; Chordata; Mammalia; Primates; Hominidae.